AUGGCACAGCAAUCUGGUUUUGCCUGGUUCCGAAACAUAAUUACUUUUUUAUUUUUUUUGUCUAUAGGUAAGCUAUAUGUUAUUCAAGGCAUCAAUAGAAAACCCCAUUUUUGUAGGUUCUACUUACUUUUCAUUGGCUUCGGAAUAAUAGAGUAA
Molecule: ribosomal RNA, 156 nt
Filed under: Triticum aestivum (bread wheat)
Lineage: Eukaryota; Viridiplantae; Streptophyta; Magnoliopsida; Poales; Poaceae
Description: partial small subunit ribosomal RNA
Source: RNAcentral